GUUCUCCACUUUUUACAGAUCUCAUCAUCUUCAACCAUCAUCAUCAUCAUCAUCAUCAUCAUCAUCAUCAUCAUCAUCAUCAUCCCCUCAUCCUCCACUUUUUGCACUGCAAAUCCAGAUGAAGAACCAUCAUCAUCAUCAUCAUCCCCUCAUCCGCAACCCAUGAUCUUCGAUUUUCCCCAUUACAUCUGGGAUUGAACUCAUAUCAUCUGAUCUUCCGAUUGCUUGUUCUUGUUGACUGUACUGCUCUGUUUCUUCUGUUAUAUGAGCGAAUCGACUGAUCAUCAUCAUCCCCUCAUCCCCUUUAAAUUCCGAUGCAACUGCAGUGGCGUAUGAGCCUAACAAGCCGCUAGUCAUUGAAGAUGUGGAGUUUUCAAUAUGUGGGGAUGAUGAUGAAGAAGAUCUGGGUUAGAUUUAAUUGAAGAUCUAGGGAUGAUGAUGGUUGAAGAUGAUGAAGAUCUGGGUUAGAUUUAAUUGAAGAUGAAGUUCUGGGGAUGAUGAUGGUUGAAGAUGAUGAAGAUCUUUAGAUUUAAUUGAAGAUGAAGAUCUGGGAUGAUGAUGGUUGAAGAUGAUAAUGAAGAUCUGGGUUUUAUUCAUAAAAGGGGAGGGAAAUUACAAUUUUACCCAUCAUGUGCAAGUCAUGUGCCAAUUAAUUAACCAGAGUUAGGGUUUGGUUAGAUUUAGGGGCCAAAAUGGUUAGUUAUAGGGACCACGGGGGCAAAUCUGUUAAAAAUUCUUAUUUUGGGCCAAUAUAGUAAAAUGGAUAUAACCACAGGGGCCAAAAACGUAAUUUACUCAAACAUAAAUGUAUGUACUUUAUUCCAAUUAUUAAUAGAAAGGGGGUUUUGAACCCCACAUGAUAAUAGUUACUCGUUGUAGCCUAAAUUGGUUAGAAUGAGUUUCAGAAAAACCCAAUAUGUAACUUCGAUCAACCGAUGUGUAAGACAUCAAUUUGUUGAUUCAAAAUUUGUCUGGUAAAAUUGGUGGUGUAGAUUGUCAUGUGUGACUAGCUUUGACCUCAGUUUAGAUACUAGUGUUUGGAAUAUGUUUGGGAAGUGAUUUUGAGGAAACUCUCGUAGGUUGAUUUUUUGGUGAAAAUCGGUCACUUUCAACUUAUUGAAAUUGUAAUACCUUGGUUAAUUGUAUUUGUAGUUAUCUGUGUAUUGCCAUACUAACAAAUUAGAUGAGAUUUAAAUGGAGGUUAAUUUUAUAAAUGUAGCAUAUAAGAAUGCUCAUAAAGUGAGGAGAACUACCAAACAAAGGUUGUUGCUACAUGGAUCCGCCAAGAUGAGGUUAAGAUCACUACAACAAUUAAGAAGAUAAACUUGUCACACUCAGUCUUCCCUAUCUAGAGUGAGAUAUGCAAAACUAUGGGAAACUCGUUACAAGGGGUCAAAUACCCAACUUCUCGGUAUCACCCUCUGACGCUCAAGUUAGUAUUUAAUUCAAGUCAGUAUUGGAUUUACCAUUUGUGAGUGCAUUAAUGUCUAUCGCCUCCGUCAAUCGUACAUCGUAGCGGGAAAUGGAACAAGACGAGACUUAAAUGAAGUUUAGUUAUAAGGGAAGUCCAUCCAGACGAAUGGUUGGCCAUCCGGAUGGAUGGAGUUAAUUAUUGAAUGAGUCCUCAUUUAAGUCAGCCCUAUAUAUAGGAGUGUUAUAUAUUUCAUUUAGAACUUUUGGAGAACUUUUGCAAACUUUAUCUUUGGAGAGCCUUCAUUCUUCAAGAUCUAGAGAGAGAAAGUAGCAAAGGAAAGAUUCAAGGUGUAAACAUUGUUAGAUCUUUAAUCGAAUCUUUGAUUAGU
This 1802-nucleotide long non-coding RNA is filed under the name Helianthus annuus (common sunflower). RNAcentral describes it as "hypothetical non coding rna". Lineage: Eukaryota; Viridiplantae; Streptophyta; Magnoliopsida; Asterales; Asteraceae. The record is from RNAcentral.